RNAcentral lists this ribosomal RNA (434 nucleotides) under Chelidonium majus. RNAcentral's name for it is "eukaryotic LSU rRNA". The stretch from base 294 to 434 matches the Rfam family "Eukaryotic large subunit ribosomal RNA", at positions 1 to 141 of the family's 3401-position model. Lineage: Eukaryota; Viridiplantae; Streptophyta; Magnoliopsida; Ranunculales; Papaveraceae. The record is from RNAcentral.
UGCAGAAUCCCGUGAACCAUCGAGUUUUUGAACGCAAGUUGCGCCCUAGGCCAUCCGGCUGAGGGCACGCCUGCCUGGGCGUCACGCACUGAGUCGCCCCUUCUUCUCCGAGGAGAGAUGGAGCGGAGAUUGGCCCCCCGUGCUUCCGAGUGCGGUCGGCCUAAAACUUGGCCCUUGGAGGCCGGCGUCACGAUCCGUGGUGGUUGGCAUCAAUUGUCUUAUCCGGAAUCCGUGGUCGUCGUUCCUCCUUUUGGACCACAAGGAACCCUCGAGAGGUUUAGGCCUCCACUCUGCGACCCCAGGUCAGGCGGGACCACCCGCUGAAUUUAAGCAUAUCAAUAAGCGGAGGAGAAGAAACUUACAAGGAUUCCCCUAGUAACGGCGAGCGAACCGGGAUCAGCCCAGCUUGAGAAUCGGACGGCCUCGCCGUCCGA